UACUUUCCAGACCCUUUUCCAAACCCUUCCCCUUCAUCUUCCUCUUAUUUUCAUCUAGGGUUCUAUCUCAUUCCAUUGAAGAACAAGGGUUCAGCUUCUUCAUCUUUCACUUUAAGAUCUGCCAGAGAAAAGAUUAUAAAUAAGUAAUCCAAAAGGAUCCUGCAACAUUUCCACCAAGGAGUUCAAUCCUAAACUCCUAAUUCAGAAUAGUCCUUUCAAAAAGUA
Molecule: long non-coding RNA, 225 nt
Filed under: Nicotiana benthamiana
Lineage: Eukaryota; Viridiplantae; Streptophyta; Magnoliopsida; Solanales; Solanaceae
Description: long non-coding RNA (NBEN_LNC008019)
Source: RNAcentral